Molecule: ribosomal RNA, 459 nt
Filed under: uncultured bacterium
Lineage: Bacteria
Description: partial 16S ribosomal RNA
Rfam family: Bacterial small subunit ribosomal RNA
Source: RNAcentral
CCUACGGGAGGCAGCAGUGAGGAAUAUUGGUCAAUGGCCGCAGGGCUGAACCAGCCAAGUCGCGUGAGGGAAUAAGGUCCUAUGGAUUGUAAACCUCUUUUGUCAGGGAGCAAAGGGCGCCACGUGUGGCGCUUUGCGAAUACCCGGAGAAAAAGCAUCGGGUAACUCCGUUCCAGCAGCCGCGGUAAUACGGAGGAUGCGAGCGUUAUCCGGAUUUAUUGGGUUUAAAGGGUGCGCAGGCGGAAUGUCAAGUCAGCGGUAAAAUUUCGGGGCUCAACCCCGUCGUGCCGUUGAAACUGGCGUUCUUGAGUGAGCGAGAAGUAUGCGGAAUGCGUGGUGUAGCGGUGAAAUGCAUAGAUAGCACGCAGAACGCCGAUUGCGAAGGCAGCAUACCGGCGCUCAACUGACGCUGAUGCACGAAAGCGUGGGUAUCGAACAGGAUUAGAUACCCGUGUAGUC